ACCAGACUCCUACGGGAGGCAGCAGUGAGGAAUAUUGGUCAAUGGCCGAGAGGCUGAACCAGCCAAGUCGCGUGAGGGAAGACGGCCCUACGGGUUGUAAACCUCUUUUGUCGGGGAGCAAAGAGAGUCACGUGUGACUCAUUGAGAGUACCCGAAGAAAAAGCAUCGGCUAACUACGUGCCAGCAGCCGCGGUAAUACGUAGGUGGCAAGCGUUGUCCGGAAUUACUGGGUGUAAAGGGAGCGUAGGCGGGAAUGCAAGUUGAAUGUAUAAACGGUCGGCUCAACCGGCCGAAGCGUUCAAAACUGCAGUUCUUGAGUGGAGUAGAGGCAGGCGGAAUUCCUAGUGUAGCGGUGAAAUGCGUAGAUAUUAGGAGGAACACCAGUGGCGAAGGCGGCCUGCUGGGCUUUAACUGACGCUGAGGCUCGAAAGCGUGGGUAGCAAACAGGAUUAGAUACCCGGGUA
Molecule: ribosomal RNA, 464 nt
Filed under: uncultured bacterium
Lineage: Bacteria
Description: bacterial SSU rRNA
Rfam family: Bacterial small subunit ribosomal RNA
Source: RNAcentral